GCCACAUGGUGCCUCUCUCUCCCUAACGCCUCUCCCUCCCUAAGGCCUCUCCCUCCCUAAGGCCUCUCCCUCCCUAAGGCCUCUCUCUCCCUAAGGCCUCUCCCUCCCUAAGGCCUCUCUCUCCCUAAGGCCUCUCUCUCCCUAACGCCUCUCUCUCCCUAAGCCCUCUCCCUCCCUAAGGCCUCUCCCUCCCUAAGGCCUCUCCCUCCCUA
Molecule: long non-coding RNA, 212 nt
Organism: Gadus macrocephalus (Pacific cod)
Lineage: Eukaryota; Metazoa; Chordata; Actinopteri; Gadiformes; Gadidae
Exons: 3
Source: RefSeq, a predicted model, not a curated record